CCCCAAAAACACACAGUUUUGGUCCUAAACUUGCCGUUGUUUUUUAUUAAAUUUACACAUGCAAGCUUCAACAACCCAGUGAGAUUGCCCAAAACCCCUAAACAGCUAUAAGGAGCAGGCAUCAGGAUUGCAGACACCUCUAGCCAAAAACGCCUUGCUAGGCCACACCCACACGGGAAUUCAGCAGUGAAUAACAUUAAGACAUGAGUGAAAGCUCGACUUAGUUAUAAUAAAUAAAGUCGGUAAAUUUCGUGCCAGCCACCGCGGUUAUACGAAAGACUUAAAACAACGGCCCACGGCGUAAAGCGUGACCGAAAGACAGUCAAAAAAUUAAAGAAAUAUUACUUCAAAGUUGUAAAACACCUUGCUAGUAAGACCUUCAACAACAAAAUGACUUUAAAACACAGACACUUCCCCUCACGAAAGCUAAGAAACAAACUAGGAUUAGAUACCCUACUAUGCUUAGCCCUCAACAUAGACAGUAAAACCACAAUACUGUCCGCCAGAGAACUACAAGUGAAAAACUAGAAACUCCAAGGACUUGGCGGUGCUCCAUACCGACCUAGAGGAGCCUGUCCUAUAAUCGAUAAUCCACGUUUCACCUCACCACCUCUUGCAAGUCAGCCUAUAUACUGCCGUCGUCAGCUUACCUUAUGAAAGAAACAAAGUAAGCAAAAUAGUAAACAACAAAAACGUCAGGUCAAUGUGUAGCAUAUGGGGUGGAAGAGAUGGGCUACACUCUCUACCACAGAACACACGAACAGUACAAUGAAAUAAGUACUCAAAGGCGGAUUUAGUAGUAAGACAAACAAGAAACUUUGACUGAAAUACGCUCUGGAGCGCGCACACACCGCCCGUCACCCUCAUCG
This 869-nucleotide non-coding RNA is filed under the name Trachylepis perrotetii. Lineage: Eukaryota; Metazoa; Chordata; Lepidosauria; Squamata; Scincidae. The record is from RNAcentral.